UGCAAGUCGAGGGGUAACAGAGGUAGCUUGCUACUUGCUGACGACCGGCGCACGGGUGCGUAACGCGUAUAGAAUCUACCUUAUACUGAGGGAUAGCCUUUGGAAACGAAGAUUAAUACCUCAUAGUAUAUUUUUUGGGCAUCUAGAAGAUAUUAAAGGUUACGGUAUAAGAUGACUAUGCGUUCUAUUAGCUAGAUGGUGUGGUAACGGCACACCAUGGCAACGAUAGAUAGGGGCCCUGAGAGGGGGAUCCCCCACACUGGUACUGAGACACGGACCAGACUCCUACGGGAGGCAGCAGUGAGGAAUAUUGGACAAUGGAGGCAACUCUGAUCCAGCCAUGCCGCGUGCAGGAAGACUGCCCUAUGGGUUGUAAACUGCUUUUAUACAGGAAGAAACCUUUUCACGUGUGAAAAGCUGACGGUACUGUAAGAAUAAGGAUCGGCUAACUCCGUGCCAGCAGCCGCGGUAAUACGGAGGAUCCAAGCGUUAUCCGGAAUCAUUGGGUUUAAAGGGUCCGUAGGUGGAUAAUUAAGUCAGGGGUGAAAGUCUGCGGCUCAACCGUAGAAUUGCCUUUGAUACUGGUUAUCUUGAAUUAUUGUGAAGUAGUUAGAAUAUGUAGUGUAGCGGUGAAAUGCAUUAC
RNAcentral lists this ribosomal RNA (643 nucleotides) under Lacinutrix sp. Sydgb4. Its description in RNAcentral is "bacterial SSU rRNA". It matches the Rfam family "Bacterial small subunit ribosomal RNA", at positions 56 to 697 of the family's 1533-position model. The record is from RNAcentral. Lineage: Bacteria; Pseudomonadati; Bacteroidota; Flavobacteriia; Flavobacteriales; Flavobacteriaceae.